GGAAUAUUGGACAAUGGGCGAAAGCCUGAUCCAGCCAUGCCGCGUGAGUGAUGAAGGCCUUAGGGUUGUAAAGCUCUUUCGCUGGGGAAGAUAAUGACGGUACCCAGUAAAGAAGCCCCGGCUAACUUCGUGCCAGCAGCCGCGGUAAUACGAAGGGGGCUAGCGUUGUUCGGAAUUACUGGGCGUAAAGCGCACGUAGGCGGGUCGUUAAGUCAGGGGUGAAAUCCCGGAGCUCAACUCCGGAACUGCCUUUGAUACUGGCGACCUUGAGUUCGAGAGAGGUGAGUGGAAUUCCGAGUGUAGAGGUGAAAUUCGUAGAUAUUCGGAGGAACACCAGUGGCGAAGGCGGCUCACUGGCUCGAUACUGACGCUGAGGUGCGAAAGCGUGGGGAGCA
This 395-nucleotide ribosomal RNA is filed under the name uncultured bacterium. RNAcentral describes it as "bacterial SSU rRNA". It matches the Rfam family "Bacterial small subunit ribosomal RNA", at positions 358 to 770 of the family's 1533-position model. The record is from RNAcentral.